GACGAACGCUGGCGGCGUGCUUAACACAUGCAAGUCGAGCGGUAAGGCCCUUUCGGGGGUACACGAGCGGCGAACGGGUGAGUAACACGUGGGUGACCUGCCUUUAGCUCUGGGAUAAGCCUGGGAAACUGGGUCUAAUACCGGAUACGACUCCGCGGUGCAUGCUGUGGGGUGGAAAGCCUUGUGCGGCUGGAGAUGGGCCCGCGGCCUAUCAGCUUGUUGGUGGGGUGAUGGCCUACCAAGGCGACGACGGGUAGCCGGCCUGAGAGGGCGACCGGCCACACUGGGACUGAGACACGGCCCAGACUCCUACGGGAGGCAGCAGUGGGGAAUCUUGCGCAAUGGGCGAAAGCCUGACGCAGCGACGCCGCGUGAGGGAUGACGGCC
RNAcentral lists this ribosomal RNA (387 nucleotides) under uncultured bacterium. RNAcentral's name for it is "bacterial SSU rRNA". It matches the Rfam family "Bacterial small subunit ribosomal RNA", at positions 28 to 416 of the family's 1533-position model. The record is from RNAcentral.